Molecule: RNA transcript, 1777 nt
Organism: Triticum dicoccoides
Lineage: Eukaryota; Viridiplantae; Streptophyta; Magnoliopsida; Poales; Poaceae
Gene name: pentatricopeptide repeat-containing protein At1g77360, mitochondrial-like
Exons: 3
Source: RefSeq, a predicted model, not a curated record
UUGACAGUAGGAGUAGGAUUAGGGGGAAAGUAGAGGACACUGCAGAUCGAAGAAAGCACAGCCGCCGCCGAUGAGCGCGACGGAGAAGAGCACGGAGGGGGAGGGGGAGGGGGAGGGGUCCCAGCCCGUGGAGGCGUUCCUCGACAUCCUCGGCCGCGUCCCGAUGGGGGAGGUGGAGGGGGCGCUGACCUCCUGCGGCGUCGGCCCGACGGCGGAGGCCGCGGAGCAGGUGCUCAAGUCCAAAACCUGCUACGAGCGCCCCAAAUCGGCCGUCCGCUUCUUCCGCUGGGCGAAGGCGUCCGUGCAGCUCACCCCCUUGGCCUGGAACCUCCUCGUCGACAUCCUCGGUAAGGCCGCCAUGUUCGAUCCCAUGUGGGAUGCCGUCCUCUCCAUGAGCCAGGAGGGCGGCCUCCUCUCCGUCGCCACAUUCGCCUCCAUGUUCGCCUCCUACUGCGCGCGCGGCAACUUCAAGGAAGCCGCCAUGGCCUUCGACGUCAUGGAGCGCCACGGCGUGACCUCGGACGCCGUUGCCCUCAACUCCCUCCUCGCCGCCAUGUGCCGCCGGGAUGGCGGCGGGCAGGCCGCGUGGGAGCUUUUCGAACGCUACAAGACCACGGUCGCGCCCGACGCGGACACCUUCGCGAUACUGCUCGAGGCGUGGGAGAAGGAGGGGAACGUCCAGCGCGCCAAGAGCACCUUCGGCGAGAUGGUCGUUCGCGUCGGGUGGGACGCCAGCAACAUGCCUGCCUACGAUGCUUUCCUCUCCACGCUUGUGCGAGGGGACCAGUUCAACGAGGCAUUGAAGUUCCUCCAGGUGAUGCGGACCAAGGGCUGCCUCCCGGGGCUCAAGUUCUUUGCCAACGCGAUCGACCUUGUCGUCCGCAAGGGAGACCAUGCCAAUGCUAUUGCUAUCUGGCAAAUUAUGGUCUCGGAUGCAGGACUGGUUCCCAAUCUCCCAAUGUACAAUGCCGUAAUUGCCCUCUGCUCUAGUGUCGGUAACACCGACUACGCCUUCCAGAUGCUCGACGAAAUGCCAUUAAAUGGGGUCUUUGCAGAUUCUGUUACAUAUAAUGCCAUACUUGAGGGGCUCAUCAAGCAGCGCAAGGCUCGUGAGACUGAAGGUUUCCUUGCGGAGAUGAGCAAGAACGAGCAGCUGCCCUCUGCCUCCAACUGUGCUGCUGCUAUCAGCUUAUUUUGUCAGGAGUUUAACCCAUCUGCCGCAGUUGACGUGUGGCACUGCAUCGUGGAGCACCAAAUUACUCCGGCUGAGGAAUCAGCCAAAGAGCUAAUAACUGGGCUUCUCGACUUUAGCAGGUUCUCCGAGGUGAAGAAAUAUACCGAUCAGAUGCUUGACAUGGGAAUUGAGUUGCCCCAGCCCACCAUUGAAAAAAUGAAGCGAGCAUUUUACAAGGCUGAGAGGCACCACACAUAUGACCAAAUUGCACGAAGGUUGAAGCGGCGGUAACAACACAUUGAUGGUAUAAUUCAUUAGGAGUGAACCGCUAUAGUGCAGGAGUUCACCACAGAAACGAGCCAGACAGAGAAGCUGCAGGAUGAGGUUUCAAAGUGGGAUAUCUCCAAAGUGGAACGUGGAUGGAAGUAGAUGUUGUUUUGCACCAGGUGGUUGUAUGGUAGUAGAUGUUUCCUGGAAGUAUAGCAUUGUACUGUUGUACGAGUACUUAUGGAAGAGCAGUUUCGAGAUAGCUGUAAUGCUGUACUUCGCAUUAACUGGAGUAGUCUGUUGCCUUUUCUUCUGCAGUGUUUGUUUGACUGUUGA